UUAGCCUACUUAUGGAAUCUGGCAGCAGGAGACUAUAAAUAUGCAUAUAUCUAUAUAUUUAUCUGUGUGUGUAUAUAUAUAUAUGUAGGUACAUCCUGGAAUUCUUGUGUCAUUAUUAUUUCUUUGUUCCUCCUAUAGAUUAUAUCAAAUCGAAUCCCUAAAAUGGAAGAAGCCAAAAGUCAAAGUUUGGAGGAAGACUUUGAAGGACAGGCCACACAUACAGGCAAGCAAAGCAAGAAGAAAAAAUAAUUAUUAACUUAAAAUUAAAUAUGGCAAUAUCUAAUGUUCUUAUUGACAUUAUUCAGUAUGUACUUUAAGUAAUAUCUUUAUAUAAAUUGUUAGACUAAUCUAAAAAAUAUUUGAGUGGGCAAAUUAGUUUUUGAAAUCAAAUAAUUCCUAACAGUUUUAUUUAGAUGUCAAAGAGUAAAAAAAACACUAAUUAUUGGUAAUUUCUUGAUGACCAACUAUCACAAGACCUCUUAUCUACACUAUAAUUAAGUCACUUUCCUCUCUCCUGAUUGUACCCCACCCUCACUACAAACUUUCACUGUAAACAAGGUUAGACCAAAAGGUAACUAAAUGGCCUUUAAUUUCAGUUUUCUAAUCUCAAAAAAAAAGGGAAUGAUAAGAUAGUCCCUUUAUUUUUUUGAAUAAAUAAAUUUCAGUAUUCCUCCAGAAAACCUAACAGUUCAUUUCAUCCAGAGUCUGUUUUCUUAAUCUGUUAAAUUAUGUUUGGCUAUCUAUAUGCCACUCCUAAGAGCUUAAAAAACUUAAAUAUCAUGACUUAAAUUUAAAAAUUCCCAUUUAACUCUAUUGAAUCUUAUUUGAAUGGUAAUUUCCUCUCUCUUUUAAUUUGGAUUGAGCCAUUAAAUUUAGCCAGAAGCUUGAAAGAAUUCACAAGACUACCAGCCAAAAUGUGUGGAGAUUUAUUUUAUAAUAGCAAUGUGAGGAAUACCUUCCUAAAUAUGACAAAAACAAAAACAACAACAAAAAGACCACUGAAGAAAAGGACCUAAAGGAGUAAUAAACGACUGGAGAAAGUUUAAAUUAGAGAGUCAAGACAGUGAUUCAAUUCCACCUAGCAAGAAGGAGAUUCUCAGGCAAAUGUCUUCUCCUCAGAGUAGGAAUGGCAAAGAUUCAAAGGAACGAGUCAGCAGAAAGGUAAGAUAAUACAAAAAUCAGUAACAAAUAAUUUACAAUGUGUUUUCUAAUCUAAAUCAAUCUAGAGAAUCAUUUUAGACUAUUACAAAAUAUAUUGAUUACAAUAUUGCUUAUGCUGGCAAAAAAAAAAAUGGAAAUGAAGUGAAUGCCUAUUGUGGCCUUCCAUACCAAGAAUACCUACAGUUAUGGAAAGAAUUAGUUACAAAUACAUGAGUUGAUCUAGAGGUAGUUUCACAAUAUGAGAAAGCAAAAUACAGAAAAUUCCAUCUGGGGAAUCAUAACAAACCUGCUCCACUUGUUUUGAAAACAUAUAAAGAAAAAAUAAAUGUAAAACUAUGUUGAAACAUGUAAAAUACUACACUAAUGUGACACAUAAUCAUUAUUAAAAAUUGUAUGCCAAGGUUAAACUUUGGAAAUGUAUCUGAAUGCCUACAUAUCUAUAUGCCUGAAUAUGUGAAUGAAACAAGUUUUCAUAUAAAUACUCAAAUACAUCUUCAAGUCAAAUUUGUGUGGUUUGGUCUGUUAAAUUAACAGAACUAUAGCAGCAACAUACAAAUUAUAUAAAACACUGGAAAUUUUUAGGGUUAAAACUAAAUUGGGACAAUAUUAUUAUUAUUAUCAUUAUUAUUAUUAUUAUUACUAUUAUUAUUAUUUUGAGACAG
RNA transcript from Cercocebus atys (sooty mangabey), 1823 nucleotides. It is a transcript of the gene named phosducin, with no coding region annotated. Lineage: Eukaryota; Metazoa; Chordata; Mammalia; Primates; Cercopithecidae. The record is from RefSeq and is a predicted model, not a curated record. The transcript has 2 exons.